Molecule: ribosomal RNA, 253 nt
Filed under: uncultured bacterium
Lineage: Bacteria
Description: partial 16S ribosomal RNA
Rfam family: Bacterial small subunit ribosomal RNA
Source: RNAcentral
UACGAAGGGGGCUAGCGUUGUUCGGAAUCACUGGGCGUAAAGCGCACGUAGGCGGAUCUUUAAGUCAGGGGUGAAAUCCCGAGGCUCAACCUCGGAACUGCCUUUGAUACUGGGGAUCUCGAGUCCGGGAGAGGCGAGUGGAACUGCGAGUGUAGAGGUGAAAUUCGUAGAUAUUCGCAAGAACACCAGUGGCGAAGGCGGCUCACUGGCCCGGAACUGACGCUGAGGUGCGAAAGCGUGGGGAGCAAACAGG